RNAcentral lists this long non-coding RNA (21757 nucleotides) under Gossypium barbadense (sea-island cotton). Its description in RNAcentral is "long non-coding RNA (GBAR_LNC020709)". The record is from RNAcentral. Lineage: Eukaryota; Viridiplantae; Streptophyta; Magnoliopsida; Malvales; Malvaceae.
AAGGAAGAAAUAGAGAAAUGCAGACUUCAAGAAGAAUUGCUUUUAAAGGAAGGUGAGGACUUGAAAAGGCAGAAAGAGAAAUUUGAAAGAGAAUGGGAAGAGUUAGAUGGGAAAAAGUUAGAAAUUGAGAAAGAGUUGAAGAAUAUCAACCUACAGAAGGAGAAAUUUGAAAAAGAAAAACUUGCUGAGGAUGAAAGGUUAAAGAAUGAGAAGCAAGUCGCUGAGGAUUGUAUAAAAAGAGAGUUGGAAGCUCUUGAAGUUGCUAAAGAAACAUUUGCUGCCACCAUGGAACAUGAGCGGUCAGUGGUAGCUGAGAAAGCUGAAAGUGAGAGAAGCCAAAGGCUUCAUGACCUUGAGUUGUUGAAAAGUAAACUUGAGAGUGAUAUGCAGGAUAAAUUUGAGGAGAUGGUGAAGGAAUUUGGAGAGAGAAAAAAGUCCUUUGAGGAGGAAAAAGAGAGAGAACUGGACAAUAUUAAUUAUUUAAGAGAGGUAGCUAGGAGAGAGAUGGAAGAGCUGAAACAAGAAAGACUUAAGAUAGAAAAAGAAAGGCAAGAAGUUAAUGCUAGCAAGAGUCAUCUUGAAGGACAGCAAAUUGAAAUACGAAAAGACAUUGAUGACCUUGUGGAUCUCAGCAAGAAGUUGAAGGACCAACGAGAGCAAUUGAUCAAGGAGAGGAACCGCUUUAUUUCAUUUCUUGAGAAACAAAAGAGUUGCAAGAAUUGUGGUGAGAUUACCUCUGAGUUUCUACUCUCUGAUCUAAAAUACCUACAGGAAAUAGAGAAUGAGGGAGUCCCUCUGCUUCCAAGUUUGGCAGAUAACUAUACCAGCGGAAAUAUUUUUGGGAAUUUUGUUGCAUCUGAGAGGCAGAUGAUGUCUGCAUCUGUUGCUUCAGGAUCUCCAAUUUCUGCUGGAACUAUGUCAUGGCUUCGUAAAUGCACCUCAAAAAUAUUUAAAUUCUCUCCUGCGAAAAACAUUGAGCCUCAUGCUUUAAAAAAAUUGAACGUGGGGCCCUCACUCUCUAGUCAACAAGUUAAUAUGAAAGGCAUGUCAACAACUGAAAAUGAGCCAGAGCUCACUUCUGUUGCGGCAACUGAAUCUUUGGAGAUUCAUAGGUUCCAGUCAGACACCAGCACAAGAGAUGUUGAGGCUGGUCAGGACUUGUCAGUUGAUAAUCAGAACAACAUGGAUUGUAAGGAACUGGAAGCGUUGGAAGAUUCUCAGAAUUGUGAUCUGAAUCAUGGAAAGCAGGUUCACAGGAGAAGCAGGCCUAGAGCUAAAGUAAGAUGCUCUGCGAAGGCAGUUGUCAAUGAUGCUGAGGCUAUUCUUGGGAAAGCUUUAGAACCAAAUGAACUUGAGCAUCCAAAUGGUAGUGUUGAUUCUGUUCAUGCCAAUGCUUUAAGCAGGGGUGAAUCUGGUCUUGCUGAUGGAGGCACAUCUAGAAAUGAACGGAAGCGGAACCAUGCUCAAACAUCCCAAAUAUCAGACAGUAAGCAAGAUGUUAGUGAAGGACAUUCUGAUAGUAUUGCAGCAGGCCAGAGAAGAAAGAGGCAUCAAAAAGUUGUCUCGGCUAUAUCUACUGGUCAGAAAAGAUAUAAUCUCCGACGGCCCAAAAAGUAAGUUACUGUUGAGAUGGUAGAUUUUUCAUCUCUUGCUUUAUGUGUGUAUGAAUAUUCAUUGUGGUUAUACAGCUUGAUGGUUGAUUUGUAAUUAAGCUGAAGAACCACUACUUGUUGAUUUGUCUUAUCUGCUGUUAAUCUAAGUUUAGCAUAAUUUCAAUUAAUCAUUUAUAGAAUUGCCGGUCCACUUAAUUAGAGAUGGACUAGCACUUAGUGAAAUCAAUAAUUCUGCAGUGACCGUAAAAUAACUAUAUGGUAGGUUGCUGAAUCAUUUUAUUUCAAAUGUAUUGUUUGUAAUAAGUUGGAUUAGAUUACAAUUUAAUUUACUAUGUGAAACCUGUGGAUGAUGUUAUUUUGUUGGACAAGGACAACCCAGUAUAAAAUAUUUCAGCAGAAGCAAUUUUGAUGCAACUAACAUGCGGAAUAUGCUUUGAUGUAGUGGGGUCACAGUUGCUAAAACCACAUCUGACAUGAAUAGAGAAACUGAAGGUGCUAAAGAUGCAGUGGAUCAAGUUAACUACUCUCCAAUGCCUGCAAGUGAAACUGGAGAUGCAAGUGAGAAUAGUGGUGCACACUUUCUGCAGCAGGUAAGGGGCCUUGAAAUUUUAAUUUUUUGUACUGUGGCAUGUGCAUGUUUGAUGCAGAUGGUUACGUGCAUGUCAAUGAUCUCUGCUACAAAUUUACGUCAGUUGUCACUUGACAGAAUGCUUUGACUCGUUAGUUGAGUAAAUUAUCUAUGCAUGGCAUGGUCUUCGUUGGUUUUCUGUUUUCUGAAAAGUCGAUGAGAUGAUUUCAUGAUAUCAUCAUAAAUAUGAAUGAGCUACGAGGCUCAUGUUCUAAAGCUGAACUUCACCAUUUCAGAUUUUGAUGAUUUAUAAAACUCGUCUUAAUGAUUUUCACCAUGUUUAAGUAAUCUUGUUUUAUAUAUCUUUUAUGUUGCAGGGUGAGACAGGUCCAGACACCAAAGAUGGUAAUGCUGGUGCAACCAAAACAUUUGAUGCCAAUAUGGCAUUAAGUGAGGAGGUGAAUGGCACACCUCAAGUGGUUGGUGAGUACGGUGAUGGAAAUGACUACCAGAGUGAAUCACACAGCGAAGGGCAUAAAGAUGAGGAUGAGGACGAGACUGAAGGGGAGGAGAAUAAUUUAGAGCACCCUGGUGAAGUAUCGAUAGGAAAGAAGCUGUGGAGUUUUCUGACCACAUAAUGAUGCAAAUCAUAUAUUGUAAUUUGCCAAAUUCCGAGCCCAGUUGUGCAGAUUUCCUCGUAGGAACAGCUAGUGUGUAUUAAAAUAUAAAUGUAAUUAUUCGCCAGAAAUUAAUUCAGGUGGUGGUUUGGGGGGGGGGGGUAGGGUUUUCCUUUUGAUUCUUUUGCAAGACGGUCCUAGAUUGGAUAGAUAGAUACAUGAUUUAUUUGUUGUAGAAAUGAGUGGUGGACUGUACGGCUUCCACGACCAAAUUGUUUGAAUCGGAUAGUACUUGUGUAUUUCUAAACUUUUCUGGAAUUAUUGUUUGACUUUUGUCGUCCGUAAAUGCCCAACCGUUUUACCCGUCCAGAAGAGUCAAACUGAAGCUCGAAUUUUUUAUUUUAAUAUUUGAUUUCAAGUAAAUUUCUCAUAAGAUGUUCUUCUUGAUCAUGUCGCCCCCAAGGCAAGGCUAGAACGUGCUUUUAACAUCACUUCUGAAAAGUAAGAUCACAUUAUUUAUUUAAUCUUGUUAGAGCACUAAUUAUUUUAUUUAUAUUUUUAUUUAAGCUCUUGAGUUGGCAUUGAUUCGGGGUACUAAUUUAGACAGAAAAAUUAUAGAAAUAUUCUUUUAUAAUUAAAAUAAAGUAUAUUAUUUAAAAAUAUUUUAAUUUUUUUAUUUAAAAAAAUUAAUAAAAAUAUUUAUGUAGUUGAAUUUGAAUUUUUAUGUAUUUUAAUUUUAUUAUACAUAAUUUAUAUGUUUUAAAAUUUUGAACUCAUAAUUUUAACAAGACUAUAAUGCGUUUCAAUACAACCGACAUCAAUACUCGAGUCAACCGAUAAAAAUAAUAUAUGAUUUUUAGUUUUAUUAGUAUACAAAUGUCCUCUUUCAAGUUUAUCUUAUUUAUUUCCUUCGAUUCACUCUCAAUAAUUUGGAGGAAAAACAACAAAAUGAUAACAAUAAAACAACUACCGCUUUGGCGCCAGUGAGCCUCCGCCACUUGCAAGUGGCAACCACAACACUCCCAAAUCAGCCUCGCAAAAAUUUUCCAGAUCCAUUUAAAAGAAAAAUGCCCCCUUUUCUCCCAUAAUUGACCCGACACCACCCUACGAAACACCGCCGAUGUCCGCUCAAUCAGCGGCCACAGCCACCGCCAAUGAGAGAGUCAAAACCUUGACCCUAGACUCCACCCAACUCUACCUCACUGCCCUAAACUCCACCACUUCCACGCUUUCUUUCCCCCCUAUUCCCUCCUCUUUCCCUCCCUCCAAUUUCAUCCCCAACACUCGCUUCCUCAUCGAUUCCUUCCGCCACCCCUUCACAGCCUUCUCCGCCUCUUACUUCCUCUCCCACUUCCACUCCGAUCAGUAUUCCGGCCUCUCUCCUUCCUGGUCAAAAGGCAUCAUCUUUUGUUCCCACCUCACUUCCCUCCUCCUCAUCCAAACCCCGUUUCGUCUUCGCUUUGCCUCUAAACGACCCCGUUUUAGUAGAUGGCUGCGAGGUCAUUCUCAUCGACGCCAAUCAUUGCCCUGGUUCAGUCCAGUUAUUAUUCAAAGUUCCCACUAAAAAUGGGAUCUUUGAAAGGUAUGUUCACACAGGCGAUUUUCGUUACUGCAAUCCGAUGAAGUUGAAUAGUUAUUUGAUUGGAUUUGUUGGAUGUGAUGCCAUUUUUUUAGAUACUACAUACUGUGAUCCGAAAUGUAUACUUCCUUCUCAAGAAGAAUCGAUUGAUUAUGUGGUUAGUGUGGUAGAUAGGAUAGGUAAGGAAUUUGGGAAAAGGAGGGUUUUGUUUCUUAUUGCUACUUAUGUUGCUGGGAAAGAGAAUAUUUUGGUUGAGGUUGCACGGAGAUGUAAGACCAAGAUAUGUGUUGAUGGGAGGAAAAUGGAGAUUUUGCGUGUUCUGGGUUAUGGGGAUGGUGAAGUUUUUACUGAAGAUGAGAGUGAGAGUGAUGUUCACGUUGUUGGUUGGAGUGUAUUAGGUGAAACUUGGCCGUACUUUAGGCCGAAUUUUGUGAUAAUGGAAGAGAUUAUGGUGGAAAAAGGGUAUGAGAAGGUUGUCGGAUUUGUGCCGACUGGGUGGACUUAUGAAGUCAAGCGGAAUAAAUUUGCAGUGCAAACUAAGGAUACAUUUGAGAUACAUCUGGUCCCUUGUAGUGAGCAUUCUAAUUAUGAUGAGCUUAAAGAAUAUGUGAAGUUUUUGAAACCGAAGAAGGUUAUUCCUACAGUUGGUAUGGACUUUGAGAAGCUUGAAAGUAAACAUGCUGAUGAACUGAGAAAGCACUUUGAUGGGCUGAUUGAUGAAAUGGACAAUAAGAAGGACUUGCUGAUGGGUUUUCAUCGUGGCAACUGUGAAACUGUAGAAAAAGUUGAAAGGGAUGCUAAUGAGGAAAGGGUCAUGGAGAGAAAUAAAUAUAAGUUUGAAAUGAAAACAGUUGAGAGUAAUGACAUGGAUGUUUCUUCGAAUGAUGUAUCUUACGUCCAUAAACCUGAUUCACAAGAUUCAACUAUACCAAGCGAGGAGGAAAGAGAGAGAAUCAUUGAGGAAACCAGGGAUUCUUUGCCCAAAUGGGUGACCAGAGACCAGAUAUUAGAUUUGGUUAGCAGCUCAAGAUGGAAUAUUGUUGAAGCAGUUUCUAACUUUUAUGAGCAUGAAAUUGAAUUCUACGAGCAAGUCUCUGUGUUUAGAACCUUUGAAUCUGCAUCCCAUGCCAGUUCACCAAGCAGCCCUAUAUUACUUUCAAAUUCAGGACCUUUUCGAAGUAGCACUGAUGAAAGUGUAAAUACUAAUUUAAGUCAAGUCAGCAAGUCUCCUAGUUUGAAACUUACACGGUGGAGCAACAUAUCUCCUAGCAAGAGGAAGAAAAACACUGAGAAGAGGUCAAAUAAGAAAGUAAAAAGUAAUUCAAAACUGGAAUCUAGCGGGUCAAAACAACCCACAAUAACUAGCUUCUUCAGUAAACUUUUGCCUGAUGACUCUAAAGGUGGCAAGACUGAUCAAAAAAAUUGAAGAAUGCCCUAAAGGUGAAAACAUCUUGCCUAGUAAUUGGACUAAAUCAUACAUAGAGAAAACAAUCAGUUUAUUCAGAUAAUGUAUUGUCAAGAAACUAUGUUGCGUCCUUGCUUGAGAAAACUCAAGGAGAUAUCGACUAGGCACUGGAUAUGUAUUAUAGUAAUCCUGAGUUGAAACAUGGUGAGAAUACAGAGAAUAUGAUGGUCUACAGCAAAUUAGCUUAGGUCCAGAGCUGUACUAAUGAUUGCUUUGUUAGAAAGAGGAAACAUGUACCAGAGGAAUCAAGAUGUAUGGUGUUUUCAUAUUUGCCAGGACAAUUAAUCGAAACGUUGACAGUUGCAUCCUGAUAAUGUAAAUCUAUAGAGCAAGGUUGGUAUCUGGAUGUCGUUUUUCCUAUAUGCUUAAUAUUGUCUUGAAAUUCUUCUACUUCUAGAGUAUUGUAGCAUCUAUUUAGAAGUUAUUUUUUCUUUUUGAAAUACUUGGCAUUUUUCUUUGAGCUAUACUAGUUUUACUGCAUCUUUGGUGUUUCUUUCUUUUAGAAGCCUUUUCAUAGAACUUCUCAGCUUCCUUUGUGAUACUUUAGAACUUUUACUGAGAUGUCUGUGCAGCAUGCUGGAGGCAUGGUCAGCCUGUUCCAUAUGUUCAUCUUGCAUUGGCUUUUGACCUGGUUAGGGGCUCAAAAGGGCAAGACCAAAGCUGCUUCUAUGCUUUGCAAUAUGUUUAGAAAGUUGGUACAGAUUAUAUCCUUAUUAUUACAUCUCUUGUUGGUGAAAUCAAACUUUACACUUGUAACUGAUUGCUAACCCUUUAUCCCUUCAUAUUUUCUUUCAACCAGUUUGCUAGCCUUGCCCCCCGAGGAUGUGCUUCCUGUUGUGUAUCUGUGCACCUACAAAGUUGCUCCUGACUAUGAAAAUAUUAUUACUCCACAAGUUCUAAUUUCCUACAAAGUAAUGGAUUCGUACUCCACAUUUCUGAAAGAUAAGUUUUCACUCAGAUUGUACUAUUGUAGAUCACUUACCAAAAAGGUGACAGAUUCAAGAGAUACAACUGCCAACACAAAAAACAAGGGGCACUCAUGCUGUACUAAUGAUACAGGAAUUAAGUAAUGGUGGAUGCUUGAUUACGUCUGCACAAAAAGAAGCAUGUGGGGGACAAACCGGUGAAAAGUAAGGGACCUGUCCAAUGACAUUGGUGAUCCUGGUAAGAGCAAUUAAUUCCUCUCAUUGUUUUCUGUUUUCUCCUAGUCCUUCCACAAUUUUUUUUGGAGAGCCUUCUGAAUACCAUAUUUUGGUCUAAGGUGUUGCACAAAUGUGACUAUAAACCCAAACUUUACUUGCUCUUUCACCAUACUAUUAUGAGGACUUAUUUUCUGUGCUCUGGAAGAUAAAGUUGUGAAAAACCCAGUAUUGAUCCUCUUGACAACAAAUGAUUAUAAACUGAAACAUUGAUGACUGAUUUGAAUUAUUUAGAAAUAAUUGGUUAAUGCUCGGAUUUGGUGGUGUAAAAAUCAGGAGGAACUUGCUACAAUAUCGGUUUAUUAAUAAGAACUGGUUUCUAGCUUAACAAUUUAGAACCAGAAUGUCAUUACCACUCUGUUGAUGAUAAGCAAAGCGUUCUACCUCCAGUGAUAUCCUCUUGUAUACCAUGAUACGAAACAACACAUUGUUCGAGUAAUUAUUCAUGGGCACUUAAAUGCUGGAUGGAUAUGAUUAUACAAGACUUUGCCAGAGCCUCUAUUUCCCUUUUUUCAAUAGAACGGAUAAAUUUAGACAAACUUUUUAUGUAUCGAUACCCAUUCGUAAUUUGAUACCAUUUUAAAAUCUAUGUUAUGUGUACUCUAUUUGUCUCAUUUUUCUCAUAAAUUAUUUAUUAGUGUUUGCAAGAAAUUCGAGUAUCUUGUGUUUUGUUAAAUCACAAACAUUGCCAUUCUGUUUAUGCAGACUAUAGCCAGUAUUAUUGUUACCAGAUUUGGCAUUAAAGUGGGUUUCAUUAGAGCUUCCAGCCUUGUGUUUGAUUCAGCUCGAUUACAUCCCUGGUCAUGGUCACAUGGUUACCUCCGAAUUAGGUUUUUGAACUAAAUACUGGGUGCAUGCAUUUGAUGCAUAUUAUCUGCCAGAAAAUAAAAAAUGCAAGUAGCAAACACACGUCAUAACUAUGAAUGAAUGAGCUCAACAAGGCUUUCAAACAAUGAAAUCAAAAGAGGACUCGGUAAGUUGCCAAUGCAUUUAAAAGAAAACAAGAAAAAGCAUAUGGAAACCCCAAAAUUACCAUGGGAAUAUGGUUAGUUGGUUGCAUUACAUAACUCUCUUCUGCAAAACUAGAAGGAAACUAUUUCUUACUUUGCUCUCCCGUCUAUUCUUUUAACAGCUUUCAGUUUUCGUCCUUACGCCCCCUUUUGGCUCCAUCUUUUGUAGACUGCUUUUCAUCUCUCAUUCUCUGCAGUUUAUAUUACAAAUUAGCCUAGGUUCUAACUUAAACACUGAAGAAAUACAUGAAAACUAAAACUUUUUACCUUCCUUUUUGAACCCUUACCCCUUCGAUGGCGUCCUCCUUUAUGUUUUGUUUUCUGUUUAUCCUAGUACAAGACAAUGGAGUAAAACUUAUGUUUCUGCAUAUGGAUAUUAAAUUUUCAAUCAAACUGAAAAAAUCAUAUUUCAGCCAAAUCAACCUGUUCAAUAGCGACAACUGGAGAAUGCGAUUCUGCAGCAGUCUCCUGAUUCUCAAUUUCCCCAUCACUGUUAAGCAUAGUCUUCAGUCUACCUUCCUUUAGUAAUUUCUCAGAUCGAGCAUGCCUCUACAACGAUAAAGGAAGUUCUGUUAGAUGCAUAUUGGUUUAUGUGAAACCAAACAAGCAUGAUAUUCCUUUAAUCCGUUCCGGCAAUCAACGGACAAAACUGAUGCCCACAGAACCAUCAAUUUACAUACAAUCACCACAUAUAAAAUGGUGAAAGUGUAUAGUGUCACAUCAGAUUUCUUAUCAUUUCCUCAAUUCAAAGGUCGACAAUGACUAAAUAAAUUUUUUUUUUGGUGAUAGUCUAAACUUUCCAGGAUUGGAUUGAACCAUAUGGUUUCUCAAUCGUUGAUGUGGUGUGGUUAUACAGUAUUUUGCUACAAAGAGAGAACUAGCAAGCCAGAUGCCUUACCUUGGAAUUAAAGUGAGCCCUAACAGUCUCCUCGUUCAAACAGACAAUCCUUGGGCAUAACUUGCACUUAAAAACUGACUUGCAUUUCAGUAUACAGGCUGGGAAAUCAUCUGGCAGCGGUUCUUUGUUGCAUGGGACAUCCCACUUUUUUCCCCGAAUUUGAGCACCAUGUUCAGCAUGUAACCUAUUGGUGAUAAAUAUUUGUUUAUCAUCUUCACUUUCAUCAUUAUCAUCAUCUAUAAGACCUGCAAAACCAGGUCAUAUUAACCACAAAAGUAAAGGGAUCUUUUUUAGAAUAAACAUAACAAUGCAGUUCAAUAUUGCAUAAUGUCUAAAUGAAAUCAUGACAGCAGAAGACAAUUGUUGUAUCAAGGAUUUAGUAAAUGAGAUUGUCAUGUGUUCUUUUCCCAUUUACAGAGAAAGAAUCAAAGUGAACUUAUGACAGAUUUUAAUGGCGUCAAUCAAACUUCAAACAUAUCCAAGUUCCAAAUAUGGACUAGAAAGACAACUAAAAGCUGAGAUUCAUAGCAAAUGUGAGACAUGGUUUAUAUUCUGACAUGAAAUACACAACACUUUUCCCAUUUAUAGACAAAGAGUCAGCUUAUGACGGAUUUUAAUAGUGUCAAUCGAACUUCAGACUAGCCAGAUAUCAGGAACAAGUUCUAAAUAGGAAAAGACAAAUCAAUAUCUACGAUUCUCAGCAAAUUUCAGACACGGCUUCUAAUAUUUGACAUGAACAAUGCAACACUUUUUUUUUUUCUAAACCAUAUGCAUGCAAAACUCAAGAACCCAAGUUUUAUUUCUCAUGCAAAUGACCAAAUUAUGAAGGUUCUCAAUUCAAUCAAGUAAAACUAUACCUGCCGAGUCCACACCAACUUCAUUCCCUGAGCUAUCCUCGCUUUCAUAUCCUAAAAUCAAAACAAACAUACAAAUUGUAAAUCAGUAAAAUUAGUAAUAUUCAUAAAAGGAAGUUGAAAACAGUAUAAACAUCAUCAAUUAAACGCAUACCAGUUUGACAAAUCAAUAUAUAUAACCCAUCACAAAACCCUAAGAAACUAACCGGAAGAAGAGGAGCAAGCUUGAUUGUUUUGAUUUACUUGAGCAGCAACUUCUUGUUCUGGUUCUGAUUCAGAUUCUUCCGAGGCUUCCACUUCAAGUUCAGAGUCCGAAGACGAUGAAGAUGAAUCCGACACAUUAUCUUUGUCCGCAUGUUCAAAUUUAUAAAACCCUCCUCUUUAUCAUUUUUUUUACAAAAUUUCUGGAUAUUGUGAUAACAUAAACAAGGUUAAACGAGAGUGCAUAAAUCUAUAUCAAGGGAUUAAAAUUUUUUCCUAUAAUGAAUCGGCGAAUUCGUAUUUCAAAUAUUCGAACCGUUUUCCAAUUUUUUGGGCUAAAUAUCAAUACUUUUACUGGUAAAUUAGUAAAGCGGGAGAAAUCAAACAAAGGAUUUUCAAUUUACGCUUAAAGCUUUCCAAAUCAUUCAUUUAUAAGAUAUUUAUGGAAGAUAUUAAAAUAAACGGAGUGCAUAAAUUUCCUGAAAGUCAAAAUGAAUGGGAAAGCUUACGCAGAGAUGGCGACGGCCUCAGGCAGAAAUUAGAUUAUUGAGCGUUGCAGGGUUUUAGGUUAAAGAGGAAGAAAGAGUUUAAACAUGAAGAAUUCAAGUGUGAAGUUUGGGCCUUAGAUCUGCACCGAAUCCCAUCUUCUUCAAUGACCCAUGAAAUUAGAGGCGUCUAUGGGCUGACCUCGGUUUCUAACUUUUAAAUAUCUUUCUUUAGUACGAGUCUGUUGGUGGUUGGUGUUACGCUAUUAAUUUCAUUUUUUUUACUUUUUUUUCAAGGCUUAAGAAUAAAAAAAAUUAGUAAAAACUAAAAAGUAAUUGUCCUAUAAAAAAAAAUACUAAUUUGAGUCUUAAUUGACCUUAAAAGAAAUCAAUUAAUCCCUUAGUUAAUAGAAACUGUCAGUUAAACUUUUAAUCUCGUUGAUGUAAAUUUUUUAAAAAUAAUUUUACAAAAAAUUAAAAAAUAAUUAAAAUAUACAUGUAGAAUGAAUUUGAAUAAAUUAUUGUCUAGAUUCAUUUGAUUCUCAUGUAAAACUAAAAAAACUUAAAAAAUUAUUUUAAAAAAUUCUAAAAUAUAUAAUAAUUUAGAAUCAGUUAUUAAAAUUACUUAUUUUAUUUUGACAAUGAAGCUUAUUAUAAAACUUAGGCACCACCUUGAUCAAAACCUUACUGUUGGCGUCUUUAAUGUACUCGAAAGGGCGAGCACCGAAGUUGAUGGGGGAAAGUUUAGGGCUAGACUAAGAGUUCAAAGCUGCAAGAGAUGAAGCUAACAAAACAUUGCAUGCAAAGCGAUCGAGAGGGGGGAACAAAGUAAGUUUGGCCAGGCAUGAGACAACUCGUCCAUGGAUAUAGUUGGGAUAAGGUGACCAUGGAGAAAGAGUCUGCAUGGCAAACCAUCAUGUCGACGAACUCAAACAUGACCUCGCCAGCAAUAUGUUUUUCGUUUAGGGUUUCUUGUAUUUCCUUCCCUGAAGAAAAAGACAUCAGGUUUUGAAUUGGUUGGAAACAUGGAGCUACUGAACUGCCCAUUAAUUUAUAUAUAGAUAUAGAUAUACAGAUGAGGAAAUGUGGGAAAAAAAUGAUAUAAAAUAAAGAGAGAGAGAGAAGGUUAGAGAUUGAUCAUUGUAGAUAUACUAAAAAAGAAAGCAGACAAGAGGAAGGGUUUUGUAGUUUAUGUCAGAAAAGAAAGGUGAAGAAUUGACUUGGAGAAAGUCCUCUCCGAGUCCAUUUUUAUUUUGUUGCAGUUAGAACUCAUCUUGGCCGGACAACCGUCGAAGCUUGACAUGUGAUACGGUUUUGAUAAAAAUAUAAAUCCAAAAAUUGAGCUUUGGACAAAAAGUAAAAAAAUAUAUGUGUCGAAAUCGUUUUUUUUAAAACAAAAAUUUUAGUUUCGACUUAAAAAUAAAAAUUGGAGUCAUCACCGAUCAAACCCGAUUUACCUUUGUAUUUUAGAAAUUUCUCUGUGUUUUUUGCUUCUAUUUUCGUAUUUUUACAACCGAAAAUUUUCUUCCCUUCAAUGCAAAAGAUCGGCUGUUUUAUAGCCCAAAAAAUAACCUAUUUCCUUGUUUUUUUGUUGUUUUACAUUGUUUGGACUCUUUAAAAUCCGUCUUUCAGGUGAUCGUGGGAGCACACGCGGGGAAGGCGCGCAAGGGGCGGCGACGAACGUGGCUGCUGUUGAAGGCGGCGGCUAGUGGUUUUCUUCUGCUUAGGGUGUAUGUUAUUUUUUGUUUUUUGGGCUAGGUUUAGUUUGGGCUUAGGUUUAGUUUAUUGGGUUUGUUUAUUUGCUUGGGCCCGGGCAUUAUUGAACUUGUACAAUAUGUUUAACAGGUCAAAGCCUUGGAUAAAAAUUUUUAGUUUGGGCUUGGUCAAAAUUUGCUUUAAGUUUUUUUUUGGUUGUUGUUUUACUGUCAUUUGUUUUGUUGUUAUUUUAUUGUCAUUUUAUUAUUAUAUUAUUAUUAUUUUAGAGAAAUUUGCUUGUUAAAUUCCAACUAUCUCACUAUUUUAAUGUUUUUAAUUUAAUUUUGUUUUUAUAUAAAAAAUUUUUAUACAAGUAGGAUAGGUCAAACUCGGAUUUAGCAUUUUUAAAUGGGCUUAAGCCUAAAACACGGUUAAAAAUUUUAUAUUGUCCAUAAAUAUUUAAUAAAAAUAUUUACGGGCUCGGUUUAUAGAAAUGAGGUCCCGAAACCUCAUUUUUUAAAACCACUUGUCUUUAGAGAUAAACCACUUGGACUUAACUAAUCAUUCAAAUAAUAAAAAUUAUCAAGUAAAAAUUUAUUAUAAUUAUAUAUCUAACUCGUAAAUAUUAAAUAAUAAUAUUAUGAACUCACUUGUUAGAUUUGUGAUCUCGAAACCACUUGAAAACGAGCUGUUACAAUAUAUAGAUACUGCUAUCAUACGUGGUUCCAACCCAUGCUUUGUGUUGGGUUUUUUUUAGUUAAAUCUAUGGAGUAAAAAAAAUUAAAGGUUAUAAUAUGUUUCAAGUUUCUAAACUUUUUGUAUAUUUGGAAUAUAGUCCCCAUACUUUUACUUCUAGGAAUUUAGUCCUUUUGCUUUUCAAAUUUAAAAUUCAAGUUCAAUUGUUAACAUCGUUAAAGUUUGGCAGUUACAUUAGUUAGUGUGAGAUUCUGAAACUAAAAAAAAAAAAAUCUCUUGGUAGACAUAUAAAUGGCAAAAAUGAUAUUUUAAUGGACUCGAAUUUAACAAAUCUUAAUAUCACAUUAGCAUUUUAAUUAGAAUAAAGUACUUAGAUUUACUAAUGAUAUUAUAAAAAUUGAGAUAUCAAAUUAUAUUAAAAUCUCAAAUUUAAGCAUAAUAUAGGAACUAAAUUAAAAUUUGGUCAUGAUCUAUAAUCUUAAAAAAAGAAGAGGGAUCAAAAUUAAAUUUUUUCUAUUAUCCUAUAAUGUAAAAAGGGUGGAUAUAUGUCCCAUAGAAAGGCCUUAAGGUAGGUAAAGUACCAUGGAGACCGUAUACUAGAAAUUGGAUUACGUUUUGUCUUCUUUACACAAAAAAUGGAAAAAAAUUAACUUUGUAUGUUAUAUCAAAGAGCAAUUUGAUUCUUUCGUUAAAAAUUCCAUCUAUUUUUACCAUUAAGUAAUUAUAUGAAUGAUGGAGCAAGUAGGCAGUGACACAUGACGUGUCACAUGUACAUCAACAAAUAUUUAAGAAAAUAAAAAAUCCUAAUAAAUAAAAAGAAUUAAUAAUUAUUUAAAAACCACAUCCAAAAUAACAUGGACAAAGCCUAGAGAGCCAUUUAUCCAAGGAUGUGCUUUUUCAAAUAAUUAUAAAAUAUUAAAAAAAUUAUUAAGAAUUAUAAAAUUAAAUAACUCAAACCAAACCAUAAAUUUGUAACUUUCCUUUUGUGAAUGAAGAGUAAUUAUAUUUCGUGUCAUUGACCAUAUUCCCUUUUAUCCAAAUCUGUAACAUUUGUUCUCAUAUUGAUCCACUUAACAAUACACAAUAUGCGAGGCAAACAAUUCCUUCCAUUAAAUUUUACUUGAUUUUUCCACUUAUUGUUAUUUUAAUUUUUAAUAUUUAUAGUACUUCAUCAUAACAAUUAUUAAACCUUUAAAUAAGUUGUAAUUGAUGAUGAUAAUUAAUUUCCCAAUAUUUAUUGUAAUUUUAAAUGUUUUUAUUAAAUUUUAAUAUUUUUUUAUAAUUAUUUAAAAGCUUCCAUUGAAGCUAAAUUUUCCAUGAUGAUGAACCUAGACAACUUUUUUUUCAAAUGUUUAUUAAACUUUAUUUAACUUUUAGGUUCUCAUUUAUUUUUAAAAUAUUUAAUGACCUGAUAAAAUGCUAGUAAGGAUUAAUUUAUUCAUAUUUUCAAUUAGGAGGUUAAACACAAUCAAAUUCUUAAUAUUUCGAGCGUAGUUUCAGUAUGUAGCAGCCAUUGAUUACAUUUUGCAAUAAAUUAUUUAAAAUGAAACAAGUUUCAGCACUGCUGUGAGGGCAGCGAUCAUGACAGUAUCUUUUACGUCUACCACACCACCAUAAAAAUACAAUCCGAUAUAAAACGUCUUUGCAAGACCAAUUACUAUAAUAUUUUUUUAAACAUUUUUUAAUGUUUAUUUUAUAAUCCAAAAAAUAUAUUUUCUUUUCUCUGUAUUUGAAGCUUACAGUUACCCUUCAAAUAAUAUCGUUGUUCUAUCUUUAAAGUUUAAUGUAUUUUACAUGACAAUCUAACACUUAUUACAAUAAUAUACAUCUGCCUAUGAUAUACUAAAACAAAAAGAAAUAUACUUUUAAAAAAGUUAUUUAAUAAUUGAUAAUAGAUUAAUAUUUAUAAAUGUUUUUAACCUGUAAACAAUUUAUAGAGAAGUAUUUUGUUUUCAAUUAAUGCAUAUAUAUUACCCUUAAUUAUGUAAAAGGUAAUUGCAAACGAUGUUCAUAUGCCCUUUUACCUUGGUGUAUUUAAAGACUGAUAUGAUAGAUUAAAGAAAAAAACUUGCAUGACUUAAAUAACAAAUGCUACAACUGGAGUUCAUUAGCUUAUGCACCAAGAUUUACAAUAAUUAUGCACCACCAGGUCUCUGGUAGUAGGAAAACCGAUCAGAAACGCCCCAGGCGGAGGUCCAUCUUGAUCUGCCGCGAAAUGCAUGAGAACUGACUUGGAACCAGGAGAAACCCUAAUGACUGUGGCUAUCAACUCGUUUUGGAGUGCUCUUUGUGAAGGACUGUAAUCUAAGAUUACUUACAUCAGAUGGAGCUUUCACAGUUAGUUCAUAGAAGAAACCUCUCUCCGUUGAGGGCCCAAUCCGGCUCAAAGUAACUACAUUCCCAAAUUCUCAACCUUGUUGUGAAGAAUGAACAAAGAACCAUCUGUCUCCUCUCGAAGAAUAAGGAACUUCUCAGAAACUCCUAAGGUAAUGGGUGCUAGACGAUCAUAAAGGAAACGUGUUGCAGAAUACUUGUGUACAUUGCCAAAGUGUGCACUUAACUCCUCUGAUGAACCCUCAAAGUUGCAAUCAGGAAGGGGGCAUGAACAUGGCGCGAAAAGGCAUGCCUUUCCAUGUUUCUGCUUCAUGCUAUAACUGAAUGCUUCUUUGCACCCGUACUUUGUGUUUUGGCAUGUCACUUUGACAGAUUCCAACACCUUCUCAAUCGCCCUGCAGCGACUAUAGCCGAUUGGAGUCAUACAGGAUGGACAUCUAUUCCUCAUUUUGAUGCAAAAGUAGAGCAAGCUAUAUGCCCAUUCUCACACUGAAUUGCCAAUCACAGACAUACAGAUUGAUCAGGAUGCAUUUAAUAUAUGAAGAAUGAAUAAUAUCAUUACAAAAAUAUGGGACUUAUUUGAUAUUUCAAUUCUAUUAAUUUCAUGUGUGCUGUCAAUGAUAUCCUUUGAUCAGACAAUGCCAAAUCCACACACCAAAACAACCUCAAGUUCAAAGGAUAAAAGAAGUACAAAUUUUUCAUACUAAACACGACAGAUCUUUUGUUGGACAUCAAAGAUUGGCCAUUCAAGGGAUCCCACAAGAAGCUAAGUAUUAUGCAUUAUAAAAGUCGUGGUUUUUUUAUUUAUAUUCACAAAUUCCAGAGUGAACUGGUACAUGGCGACAAGUAAAAGAGGUCUUGAAGUUUAUACGUACAUGUCCAAGUAUGAACAGCACAUUAAAACUCACAAAUAGCUUCCCCAUCUAUGUUACUAGGACUCGUGUGAGUGUCAAAUACAAGUAUCUGUUCAAUUUCUUAGUUUUUCCAUAUGUAUGGAGAGUCCUCAGAGGGUCAUAUCCCCAUACCUAUAUCCAAAAACGUGGGUGCUUCAAUAAACCUAAAGAGUCAAAACAACAUAGUUCCCCAUCACCUUAAGAGGAUAGAAUCUCNNNNNNNNNNNNNNNNNNNNNNNNNNNNNNNNNNNNNNNNNNNNNNNNNNNNNNNNNNNNNNNNNNNNNNNNNNNNNNNNNNNNNNNNNNNNNNNNNNNNNNNNNNNNNNNNNNNNNNNNNNNNNNNNNNNNNNNNNNNNNNNNNNNNNNNNNNNNNNNNNNNNNNNNNNNNNNNNNNNNNNNNNNNNNNNNNNNNNNNNNNNNNNNNNNNNNNNNNNNNNNNNNNNNNNNNNNNNNNNNNNNNNNNNNNNNNNNNNNNNNNNNNNNNNNNNNNNNNNNNNNNNNNNNNNNNNNNNNNNNNNNNNNNNNNNNNNNNNNNNNNNNNNNNNNNNNNNNNNNNNNNNNNNNNNNNNNNNNNNNNNNNNNNNNNNNNNNNNNNNNNNNNNNNNNNNNNNNNNNNNNNNNNNNNNNNNNNNNNNNNNNNNNNNNNNNNNNNNNNNNNNNNNNNNNNNNNNNNNNNNNNNNNNNNNNNNNNNNNNNNNNNNNNNNNNNNNNNNNNNUUCCUAAAACACCCUCCUUUACCUCCUUAUUUAUUCCUUCCCUACUUCUAAACGGACAACUACCUGUCAUGGGCAAUCCCGUCCUUGACGACAUACAUCUCAGACACGCACGUUGAAAAAUCUUCUAAUUUCCCAAAAUACCCUAGCAUGAAACAUAAACAUAAAGGGUAAAAUGGUAUGGACACUAAAGAUCGUUAAGUGAUGAUAACAAAGGUGGCUGAGAGUAUAGAGAAUAAAAAAAGGAGACUAUGCUGUUUCGAAGACGUUAUCGGAUUUUAAACUCCACUCUUCGCCGUAAUUUAGGGCUCUAUUUCAAGUACGGCGCUAGGUUUUCAAAUUCUCGAGCAUAGAGAAACAAACCAGAAACAGAGGAUAAGAUUAGGGCUCUAUUUUCUCCAGAAAAAAAAAUGUUACGUGGAAUUGGGUACUGGGUAUGUAGUUGAAAUUUAAGAUCAUUUGAAGGGAAAUUGAGGAAUUCGACAAAUGUUUACGCCGCAGAGGAAGGUUUGGUCGGGUUGGUCGUUUGCACCUGGGAAGAAAGCAGACGGGUCGGUUCGGAUCCGAACUCCAAUGGGGUUUUCUGUUGGGAAAGGGAAAGGAGCGGCUUUUGCUGAGCCCUUGACUCCUAAUUGUAAAGACGUCGGGUCAGAGGACCAGGAGGAAGAGUUGCGCGAGAAAGCGCUAAGACUCGAAAAUGAGGUUAUCUGCUACAAUAUAUUUCUUAAGUUGCCAUUUUAGGAGCUUUAAAUUCGUUAUAUAUAUUUUUAGUAUGCUUUUUUCGGUACUUUUGUCCAAUUGUUAUAGAUAAAUAUUUUUUUGAUAGGUUUAGGUGAGGAAUUGAUAUGAUUAAAAAAGUUGCCUUUAAAUUAGUGUUUUAAGUUAAUGAGUGAGUGAGGUGUUAGAUGAAAGUAAACCCUUGAUAUGGUUUCUUAAUUUUGUUAGAUUAAACUAAAAUCCAUUUUACUGAAAGAAAAAUUUUCCUGUUGUUUUUCGCAUAAUUUUUUUACUAUGUCAAAGUUAAAGCUAUUUACCCAAUUGCACAGUUCGUUUUCGUUAUUAGUUUUUGACCUUUCUUUAGGUAACACAUUCGUUAUUCAACUAUAGUUCAGACAAAGAUAACUUAUUUCACCUUUAUUGGUGCAUAGCAUCUUGCUAUUCAAUUUUCUCAUAUGAAGCUCAGAGCUUCUGUCAGAGGAGUUUCCAAGUGUCAAACACAUUUCUGACAUGGAAAAAUACAUGUCAGACAUGCAGCACAUAAAAAUAGAUAAAAUAAAAUCGAACAUGGUCGAGGCACUGAAAAAAAAUGGAAAUCUAAUUUUUGAGAAAAAUUAUUUAAUUGAAAUGUUUUUAAUAUUUUAUUGAUAAAUUUAUAUAAAAGAAUAAUUUUAUUGCUGUGCCUGACCAUGCUUGUGUGUCGUUCGUAAUUUUUAGAAAUUCCCAUCUCGCUAAGUCCAUGUCAUGUCAUACCUGUAUUAUGAGUGCCCAUGCUUCCUAGCUUUUCUCAUUUAUGUCUAACUGAAAAUUGGGCCCAAAUUUGUCACCUUUUUGUCAAGCAUCAUGUUGACAGGUAUGAACUGCUGAAGGCUUACUGGGAAAGUUGAAUGUUUUAGGAUUGCUGACUGGGCUGUGCUUAUAUCUAGGAUGGCUUUCUUGAGCAUUCUUCAUCUUUAUCAAAUUAAAAGUUUGAAAUUUAACAUGGUUUUAGCUUUAUAAUGUGAUAAACUUUUGCUGAUGUACUCUAAAGCUAUCUACUCAAUUUGGUUGUCUAUCCUAUUCAUGUAGAAUGGUUUGUUCAAUGUCCCACUGUCUCAUCUGAAUGAUCCGUAUUCUUUCUGUUUCUUUCCAGCUUUUUGAAUACCAAUACAAUUUGGGGCUUCUCUUGAUUGAGAAAAAGGAAUGGACAUCAAGUAUGAAGAACUCAAUGAGGCAUUGAUAGAAGCAAAGGAUGCUCUCAAACAAGAACAAGAGCACAUUUAAUUGCAAUAAAUGAUGUUGAGAAGCGGGAAGAGAUUCCACGCAAGGCCCUUGGUGUUGAGAAGCAGUGUGUGCUUGAUGUAUGGAUCUUAUGUCCUGCUUUAAUUUUUCCCCUAAAAAGUUGAAAGAUAUCGAUAUAAUUUCCUUGCAUUGGUUUGGUUUUAUCCAUGUAAAAUUUGGCUUUUCCUUUGUAUUUUUCUUAUCACCAAGUUGAGGAAAGAUUAUUUUGGGGUACUUUCUUCUGCAAAUUUCUAAGAUAAUUUUGAAUAAAUUAAAAUGUACUUCUGUAAUUUGAUACCUUGGAAAUUAAAGCUUUCUUACUCUCCAUAAUUCUUUUGAUAUUAUAUGAGGUAAUAUUCAAAUUUGGAUAAUGUUCUUUGUUUUCUACAGCUAGAGAAAGCUUUACGAGAUACGCUCAGAAAAUGCAGAAAUCAAAUUUACUGCAGAUGCAAAGCUUUCUGAAGCAAAUGCUGUGAUUGCUAGUGUUGAAGAGAAAUCUUUGGAGGUGGAGGCAAAAUUGCGUGCAGAUGAUGCAAAGCUUGCCGAGAUUAGUAGAAAGAAUUCAGAGAUUGAAAGGAAGUUACAAGAGUUAGAGUCUCGUGAAAAUGAACUUCGAAGGGAGCGACAGUCUUUUAUUUCAGAGUAUGCUUCAACCUACCUUUCAUUUAUCUGCUAGUGGGCUAGUGGGACUUUUCUGUGUUUAGUUCUCAUCCAUGCUACUCAGACUAGGGUAUGAGUGUUAAAUAUGGGUAUGCUUAACUUUUAAAAGUGUUUCCAUGUAUUUUGGAGGGUCCCUGGUGGGUCAUAUCCCAAUACCCAUGUCCAAAUGUGUUGGUGAUGGGUGUUGGAACACAAGCAUGUCAAAAAUGAAGUGACAUAGCAACAUAGGUUUUGGUUUUUGUUUGUUUGUUUGAUAGUUGGUGGGUGGCGGUUCCUUUUUUUUUGUUUUUUUUUUCUUUUGUGUGUGUGUGUGUGUUAACUUUCUCAAUGAAUAUAUACUGUAGAAUUCGUUGUUUAUUUGUUAAUCCAAGAGUUAUAAUUCUUUUUACAUUUAAAGUUCAUUGAUAUUUUUUUUCCUUUCUUUCAGGCGAGAAGCACAUGAGACUACUUUGUCCAAACAAAGGGAGACCUGCGAGAAUGGGAAAAGAAAUUGCAAGAUGCGGAGGAGAGGCUGGCUAAAGGCCAAACAUAUGUCUACCAAAGGGAGGAGAGAGCAAAUGAGAAUGAUAGUCUUCAAACAAAAAGAGCAACACCUUGAAGAGACACAAAAGAUGAUUGAUGCAGCCCACAAAACUUUGAAGGAGAAAGAAGAUGAUAUAAACAACAGGCUAACAAAAUUAACUUUGAAAGAAAAGGUAGCCUAACUUUCAUGUUGAGCAGUUGCGUUUAUAUGAAAUAAUAGUAUUUUACUUUGUUGCUCCAACUCUUCAUUUUGUUGAAGCACCUAUGUCCAACGCAUGAUAUAGCAUUUGACCUCCUAGUAUCCUCCAAAAUACGCGGAAAAACUUAGAAAUCAACCAUAUCUGUGUCGGACACAUACCAUAUCUGAUACUCACAUCCGUGUUGAGUGCAUAGUAUUAUUUACCAUUUCAUCUGGAUGCAGGAAUGGAGUGUUGUGAGAGAGAAGUUGGAGAUGAAAGAGAAGGAGUUGCUCAUUAUUGAAGAAAAGUUAAACGCCAGAGAGAAGGUAAGGUUUUGCCAGUGUUUCUGAGACACAUUCAUUCAUCUGGAAUUCUUUUUAUGUAAAAUGUUGGUAGAUCUAUUUUUUAAUUUAUGUUCACAAAGGUUCCUUGUUUUUCAUUUAUUUGAUAUUUUUCUCAAAGAGCUCUAUUAUUUCUCUUGGAGGGACAGAUAUUAUAUUAGAAGGCAUCAUUUAGGUCAUUUGUUUGAUAUUUUUUUUUUUUGGCAGACGGAGAUUCAGAAGCUCCUGGAUGAACAUAAUGCCAUUCUGGAUGAGACAAAGCGUGCAUUUGAGUUGGAAAUUGAUGGAAAGAGAAAAUCCUUAGACCUUGAACUAAAACAAGGUGAUUGAUGUGGAGAAGAAGGAAGUUGAAGUCAAGCACAUGGAAGAGAAGAUUUCUAAAAGAGAGCAGGCAUUAGAUAAGAAAUUGGAAAAGUUCGAAGCAAAAGAGAAGGAAUUUGAAUUAAAAGUGAAAAGCCUCAAGGAAAGGGAGCAGGUCAUCAGAUCUGAGGAAAAGAAUUUAGAGAUCAAGAAGAAGCAUAUGGAUGCUGACAAAGAAGAACUUUUGACCCUUAAGGCUGAAACUGAGAAGCUAAGAUUGCAAACGAAGAACAAUUAUCAAAGAUGCAUGAGGAGAAAGAUAGGCUCAGAUUUAGCGAAGAAGAGAGGUCUGAGUAUGUUCGCUUGCAAUUGAACUAAAGGAAGAAAUAGAGAAAUGCAGACUUCAAGAAGAAUUGCUUUUAAAGGAAGUGAGGACUUGAAAAGGCAGAAAGAGAAAUUUGAAGAGAAUGGGAAGAGUUAGAUGGGAAAAAGUUAGAAAUUGAGAAAGAGUUGAAGAAUUCAACCUACAGAAGGAGAAAUUUGAAAAAGAAAAACUUGCUGAGGAUGAAAGGUUAAAGAAUGAGAAGCAAGUCGCUGAGGAUUGUAUAAAAAGAGAGUUGGAAGCUCUUGAAGUUGCUAAAGAAACAUUUGCUGCCACCAUGGAACAUGAGCGGUCAGUGGUAGCUGAGAAAGCUGAAAGUGAGAGAAGCCAAAGGCUUCAUGACCUUGAGUUGUUGAAAAGUAAACUUGAGAGUGAUAUGCAGGAUAAAUUUGAGGAGAUGGUGAAGGAAUUAGGAGAGAGAAAAAAGUCCUUUGAGGAGAAAAAGAGAGAGAAUGGACAAUAUUAAUUAUUUAAGAGAGGUAGCUAGGAGAGAGAUGGAAGAGUGAAACAAGAAAGACUUAAGAUAGAAAAAGAAAGGCAAGAAGUUAAUGCUAGCAAGAGUCAUCUUGAAGGACA